AGGAACCGUAUGCGGGAAAUCUGCACGUACGGAUCUGCGGGGGAGGCGUUGAGUAAUCAGUGCCUCUACCCGGAC
RNAcentral lists this non-coding RNA (75 nucleotides) under Desulfamplus magnetovallimortis. Lineage: Bacteria; Pseudomonadati; Thermodesulfobacteriota; Desulfobacteria; Desulfobacterales; Desulfobacteraceae. The record is from RNAcentral.